RNAcentral lists this ribosomal RNA (397 nucleotides) under uncultured bacterium. RNAcentral's name for it is "bacterial SSU rRNA". It matches the Rfam family "Bacterial small subunit ribosomal RNA", at positions 67 to 460 of the family's 1533-position model. The record is from RNAcentral.
UAGCACGAGAGAGCUUGCUCUCUUGGUGGCGAGUGGCGGACGGGUGAGUAAUAUAUCGGAACGUGCCCAGUAGCGGGGGAUAACUACUCGAAAGAGUGGCUAAUACCGCAUACGCCCUACGGGGGAGAGGGGGGGAUUCUUCGGAACCUCUCACUAUUGGAGCGGCCGAUAUCGGAUUAGCUAGUUGGUGGGGUAAAGGCUCACCAAGGCAACGAUCCGUAGCUGGUUUGAGAGGACGACCAGCCACACUGGGACUGAGACACGGCCCAGACUCCUACGGGAGGCAGCAGUGGGGAAUUUUGGACAAUGGGGGAAACCCUGAUCCAGCCAUCCCGCGUGUAUGAUGAAGGCCUUUCGGGUUGUAAAGUACUUUUGGCAGAGAAGAAAAGGUAUCUCC